CCCUUAGAUGUUCUGGGCUGCACGCGCGCUACACUGAUGCACUCAACGAGUUUACGACCUUGCCCGAUGGGGUUGGGUAAUCUUUUUAAAAUGCAUCGUGAUGGGGAUAGAUUAUUGCAAUUAUUAAUCUUCAACGAGGAAUUCCUAGUAAGCGCGAGUCAUCAGCUCGUGCUGAUUACGUCCCUGCCCUUUGUACACACCGCCCGUCGCUCCUACCGAUUGAGUGCUCAGGUGAAUAAUUCGGACUGCAGCAAUGUUUGGAUCCCGAACGUUGCAGCGGAAAGUUUAGUGAACCUUAUCACUUAGAGGAAGGAGAAGUCGUAACA
This 326-nucleotide ribosomal RNA is filed under the name uncultured eukaryote. Its description in RNAcentral is "partial 18S ribosomal RNA". It matches the Rfam family "Eukaryotic small subunit ribosomal RNA", at positions 1470 to 1796 of the family's 1831-position model. The record is from RNAcentral.